This 259-nucleotide long non-coding RNA is filed under the name Vigna radiata. RNAcentral's name for it is "long non-coding RNA (VRAD_LNC014755)". The record is from RNAcentral. Lineage: Eukaryota; Viridiplantae; Streptophyta; Magnoliopsida; Fabales; Fabaceae.
UCACUGGAAGAACAUAUAGCACAUCGUCGUGCAACAGAUGCAGAUGAAGGUGUUGGUCUUUGGUUGAAUGCCAGUUGUGUCAGCAAACUCUCAAGAGAAUCAAGCGCGCUUUCCAAUUUCCUGCCAACAACUGAUAAAGAAUGGGUCGGCUCAUGAAACUACGGCUGCUGUGUUUCCUGAGCAGGCGGAGAAGGCAUACAAGGAGUUUGGAAUGAUGGUUCAUGAUAUUGAUGCUCUGAAGUACCAUACCAUCCCAAAU